UGGGAAGGGCCUUCACACAGAGGCCCGCCCCCAUCUCGCCCCUCCUCGCGGUGCUCCCGACCGCGCAGAGGUCUCUGGGAAAUGUAGUUUUCUUCUGCCUGGAGCUCUGCGCGGGGCGACGCAGCUGGGCUGCAACCCGCUCCUCCAGGGACGGGUAGUGUGACGUUUGGGGUCAGAACGCACCACUUUCGGGCACCCCCACUUAAGAUUGCUCAACUGCUUUGAGCUCAGAAAGCAAGGUGUAAAGGUGGGGGAAAAGCACUUUCGUCUCAGAAUUACAGCUACUGGUAUGGAAAAGCUGGGGCCCUUCGCUGGUGUGAGUCCUAAGGAUGUCUAAAUGGAACGUGCAUCUGCUACAGGCUCGCACUUUCCUUUAUUGCGCUUCCCAGACUUCCUGCUGUUGUAAGCAACCACUACAGAUUUCUCAGAAGUACUGUGGCAAAUAAAAAUGAUUGAGAAUCAUUAUACAUUUUCUAUUCUACUAGAGAGACAGUUUAAAAUAAAAUAGAAUGCUAAGACCACCAUGCAGUGGAAAAGCUCCAUCUACCAGAAGAUGAGAAGCCAUGUGGAGAACUAAGACUUCCCAGCCAAUAGCCAGCACCAACUGCCAGACACGCAACUGAAUAGAUGAAGUCAUUAAUGGAAACCAGGAACACUGAAGAAACAGUGAACAAUUAAAGUACUUUGAGUUAUCAAAGUGAGAUGUCCUGCAGGUAGCUAGACGAUACUGGCUGGUAAUUCAGGAGAGCUGCU
This 753-nucleotide long non-coding RNA is filed under the name Homo sapiens (human). RNAcentral describes it as "HSALNT0366016". The record is from RNAcentral. Lineage: Eukaryota; Metazoa; Chordata; Mammalia; Primates; Hominidae.